UGACGGUAUCUAACCAGAAAGCCACGGCUAACUACGUGCCAGCAGCCGCGGUAAUACGUAGGUGGCAAGCGUUGUCCGGAUUUAUUGGGCGUAAAGCGAGCGCAGGCGGUUUCUUAAGUCUGAUGUGAAAGCCCCCGGCUCAACCGGGGAGGGUCAUUGGAAACUGGGAGACUUGAGUGCAGAAGAGGAGAGUGGAAUUCCAUGUGUAGCGGUGAAAUGCGUAGAUAUAUGGAGGAACACCAGUGGCGAAGGCGGCUCUCUGGUCUGUAACUGACGCUGAGGCUCGAAAGCGUGGGGAGCGAACAGGAUUAGAUACCCUGGUAGUCCACGCCGUAAACGAUGAGUGCUAAGUGUUGGAGGGUUUCCGCCCUUCAGUGCUGCAGCAAACGCAUUAAGCACUCCGCCUGGGGAGUACGACCGCAAGGUUGAAACUCAAAGGAAUUGACGGGGGCCCGCACAAGCGGUGGAGCAUGUGGUUUAAUUCGAAGCAACGCGAAGAACCUUACCAGGUCUUGACAUCCUUUGACCACUCUAGAGAUAGAGCUUCCCCUUCGGGGGCAAAGUGACAGGUGGUGCAUGGUUGUCGUCAGCUCGUGUCGUGAGAUGUUGGGUUAAGUCCCGCAACGAGCGCAACCCUUAUUGUUAGUUGCCAUCAUUUAGUUGGGCACUCUAGCGAGACUGCCGGUGACAAACCGGAGGAAGGUGGGGAUGACGUCAAAUCAUCAUGCCCCUUAUGACCUGGGCUACACACGUGCUACAAUGGGAAGUACAACGAGUUGCGAAGUCGCGAGGCUAAGCUAAUCUCUUAAAGCUUCUCUCAGUUCGGAUUGUAGGCUGCAACUCGCCUACAUGAAGCCGGAAUCGCUAGUAAUCGCGGAUCAGCACGCCGCGGUGAAUACGUUCCCGGGCCUUGUACACACCGCCCGUCACACCACGAGAGUUUGUAACACCCGAAGUCGGUGAGGUAACCUUUUUGGAGCCAGCCGCCUAAGGUGGGAUAGAUGAUUGGGGUGAAGUCGUAACAAGGUAGCCGUAUCGGAAGGUGCGGCUGGAUCACCUCCUUUCUAAGGAA
Molecule: ribosomal RNA, 1072 nt
Filed under: Listeria monocytogenes
Lineage: Bacteria; Bacillati; Bacillota; Bacilli; Caryophanales; Listeriaceae
Description: bacterial SSU rRNA
Rfam family: Bacterial small subunit ribosomal RNA
Source: RNAcentral